GCGUGGGGGAUGACGGCCUUCGGGUUGUAAACCCCUGUCAGGUGGGACGAAAAGGUCGGGAUUAAUACCCCUGGCCGUUGACGGUACCACCAGAGGAAGCCCCGGCUAACUCCGUGCCAGCAGCCGCGGUAAUACGGAGGGGGCUAGCGUUAUUCGGAAUUAUUGGGCGUAAAGGGCGCGUAGGCGGCUUGGUAAGUCAAAGGUGAAAGCCCUCGGCUCAACCGGGGAAUUGCCUUUGAUACUGCCUCGCUCGAGGCCGGGAGAGGGUGGUGGAAUUCCCAGUGUAGCGGUGAAAUGCGU
RNAcentral lists this ribosomal RNA (300 nucleotides) under uncultured bacterium. RNAcentral describes it as "bacterial SSU rRNA". It matches the Rfam family "Bacterial small subunit ribosomal RNA", at positions 399 to 691 of the family's 1533-position model. The record is from RNAcentral.